UUUAAAGGAGUGGUCGCGCCGCCUCGCUCACCCAUUUGCCGCGCCGCGUGUGUCCGCCGCCAUGGAGUUUGAGUACCAGAGCACGAUCGUGCACCAGGGGGUGCUGUUCUACAUCGCCGACGGCGGGGACCGCGCGUACUUUGUGCACGGGGGCUGCAUCGUGUCCGUGCACCGGCGCUCGCGGGAGAUCGGCAAGUUCGGGCUCACGCUGCGCGGGAACGCGCCGGGGAACCGCGUCGUCGCCAACUACGUGCGCACGGAGCUGGCGCGCCUCGGCCGCGCGUGGGCCGCCCCGCAGGGGAGCGACGACGUCUUCGUGGACGCCCUGGGGCUGCUGCUGCCGCUGACGGAGCUGGACCUCUGCGGCCGCGCGGAGCUGGACGUGUACGACCCCUACCUCGUCGAGUGCAUGGUCUCGCUGCCGGCGUCGGCGCUCUCGCUGACGCUCGUGCACGACCGCCAGCAGGACCGCGUCCUGGAGCUCCUGGCCGGGCCCGCCAUCGUGCACCCCUCCUCGGGCUUCGUGUACGCCGUGAACGAGGCCUGCUUCGCCCUGGUGCAGGCGUACCUCUCCGAGCUGCCCAGCUCGCUGCAGGUGCUGACGGAGGGGCUCUUUGACGGCAUCCCCGGCGUGCGCCCCCCGCUCAGCGGCGAGACGCGGCCCACGGCCGUGGUGGUGAAGGGCGGGCGCGCGGCCCCCACGCUGAGCGUGCGCCCGCGCCGGUACGCCGAGCGCGCGCUGCGCGCGACGGUGGUCAGCGACUUUGUGCAGGUGCGCUACAUCCCGGCGACGCGGCGCAUCUGGGCGACGCGCGGCGGGAGCCUGUCCCUGCAGAUGCUCUGCGACCUCGUGGCCGGGGCGGACGCCAUCCUGCGGCGGGCCGCGUGCGCCUCGGACGACGCCUCGGCCGCCGUGGUCGAGGCCGUGUCCGCCGUCGCGGCGGACCCCUUCUUCGGGACGGGCUCCACGUCGCUCACGGGCGCGCAGCGGUUCGCGCUGUACCAGUUCAUCCUGGCCCGCUGGCACCUGCCGAGCUGCUACGCCGCGCUGGAGGGUAUGCUCGACACGCUGGACGAGCGCCCCGGGGCGGGCGCGGGCGACGACGAGGACGGCGGCGAGGGGGGAGGCGGCGGAGGCAACGGCAACGGCGACGGCGGCGCCUCUCGGGCCGCGAGCGCCGUGGCCCACGCCGUCAACCGCGUGCUGCGCGAGGCGACCGUCUUCGGCGAGGUGAUGCGGAUGCUCGUGAACGCCGCCGUGGUGCACGCCCCCGCGCUCGCGCCCAUCGUCUCCGCGGCCCCGGCGGGGGCCUCACCGCCGACGACGAAGCACGCCCGGGAGGACGCGGCGACGGGCCUGGAGCUGGCGGUCAUGAUGAGCGACGCGGAGGCGAACGCGCCGGCGCCCGGCGUGUGCGAGCUGGUGGAGGCGGCCGGGGCGCGGGUGCUGGACGGGCUCUACGCCGGCCGGGGCCUCGUCGCCGCGACCGCGCCCGUGGGCCGCGCGCUGCGGCUCACGUCCGCCGUCUGCGCCGAGGCGGCGCUCCUGACCGCCUUCGGCGACUCGCCCGCGGCCCUCCGCGGGGCCCAGUACCUGUUUCAGCUGUUUCGGGCGCGCCUGGCCCGCGCCAACAUCUCCAUCGUCCUCAAUAAAAACCGUUAAACAAAUCACACGUCCGUUCUCCCGUCCGUCUCUGUCCGCGGCACACACACGCGUGCGCGCGCACGCGCGCCUCGGCGGGUUCCCCCGUCCCCCGUUUCCCGUUCCCCCCCCCCCACACACACGCGCGCGCCCAACCCCCGCUCGCACCCAGCCCCCCGACGCGCCACGGUCCGCACACCCCGAUCGUCCCGGUCCCCGAUCCCCGCAACUCCCGCAUACCCGCGCGUGCGUGAGCGCCUCCCCUCCAUCGUGGCGAGGACGCGGCCCCAUCGUCGCCCGGUCGGGGGAGAAGGGGGUGAGGGAGAGGACACGCGACGAUGGGCGGGGCUCGGCACGAGAGGGGAUUCCCGGCCGCUCGCCUCCACCCGCGCAUGCGCAGACGCCAUCGUCCCGGCGCGGUCUCGACGCCGCGCGGCGCCCGGAGAGCAGAGUCCCGCGCCCCGGGCCGGGCUCCCCGGCGGGACGGCCCGGGUGGAACCCGCGUCGGCCGAAGAAAAUAUUGAUGGAUUAUCGGCAAAAUAUCGGCCCGGUGAUCGAUCCGGGCGGAGCUAUUGGAAACUCGGUCACAUGGGCAAAUCCGAGGAAAAUGAUUGGGCCACGUCACGUUCGCACCAAUUGCUAAUAUAUAUAGGAUAUAAUAUUUUAUAUACAACAAGUGCGAACGCCGAAAAAUUCGCACAUACCAACCAUUCAUGAAUAUUCAUGAGGUGUGGGUAUAAAAGACCGGGGAGCCGGAGCCCGGCGCCACAACCCGGAGCGCCGCCGUCGCCGCUGGAUCCCCCGGACCAGGAUCGUCGUGGGACCGCCGGAUCGUCGCCGCCGCGAGGACCGCGAGCCGAACCGCCGCCGGACCGCCGUCGCUCGGACCCGCCGUCCCGUCGAAUCCAGGCCCGCGGGCCCCACGGAUCCCCCGGUCCACGGCGGACGGAUCGCGGCCUCGGCGCGGCGCACCGGCAAGCGGCAGACACUUUAACUCUUGAACAAAGUUUUCAAUAAACCCGGGUACAACG
This 2673-nucleotide long non-coding RNA is filed under the name Suid alphaherpesvirus 1. RNAcentral describes it as "CTO-L". Lineage: Duplodnaviria; Heunggongvirae; Peploviricota; Herviviricetes; Herpesvirales; Orthoherpesviridae. The record is from RNAcentral.